This 400-nucleotide ribosomal RNA is filed under the name uncultured Arthrobacter sp. RNAcentral describes it as "bacterial SSU rRNA". It matches the Rfam family "Bacterial small subunit ribosomal RNA", at positions 985 to 1398 of the family's 1533-position model. The record is from RNAcentral. Lineage: Bacteria; Bacillati; Actinomycetota; Actinomycetes; Micrococcales; Micrococcaceae.
CAUACUGAAAAAGAUUUAUGUUGAUUAAAAACUUAACAUUUUUCAAUACAGGUGUUGCACGACUGUCGUCAGCUCGUGUCGUGAGAUGUUGGGUUAAGUCCCGCAACGAGCGCAACCCUUGUUUUUAGUUGCCUUAGGAACUCUAAAAAGACUGCUGGUUAUAAACCGGAGGAAGGUGGGGAUGACGUCAAGUCAGCAUGCCCCUUACACCCUGGGCUACACACGUGCUACAUUGGGCGAGACAAUGAGAUGCAAAUCUGCGAAGAAUAGCUAAUCUAUAAACUCGUUCUAAGUUCGGAUUGUAGGCUGCAACUCGCCUACAUGAAGGUGGAAUCGCUAGUAAUCGCUGGUCAGUACACAGCGGUGAAUUCGUUCCCGGGCCUUGAACACACCGCCCGUC